UUGAUUUUUUCAUCUUGGCUAGCAUUUUCGGAGUCCCGUGAAGCUUGCAUUGUUCUGGUUCUUCGAAGUGUUGUUCGGCCUCUUGAACAAGUUGGUGGUGUUACUUUUAGAGUUCCGGCUCAAGGUGUUGAUAAUUCGAAGAAGUCAGAUGACAUCGAUGGUUCAACUGAGGAUCAGUAUUAGAGUCUAUGGAGAAGAUUAGCACUGAUUUGUGGUUGGGUAUCUUAUGUUACUAGUGUUGGUGUUAGAGACUAAUUAUUUUCUUAAGUUGCAUCAAUGGAUUUAGACGGUUUAUGGAGAUUUA
This is a long non-coding RNA of Juglans regia (Persian walnut), 304 nucleotides long. RefSeq lists it as uncharacterized. Lineage: Eukaryota; Viridiplantae; Streptophyta; Magnoliopsida; Fagales; Juglandaceae. The transcript has 3 exons. The record is from RefSeq and is a predicted model, not a curated record.